This is a long non-coding RNA of Tympanuchus pallidicinctus (lesser prairie-chicken), 1400 nucleotides long. RefSeq lists it as uncharacterized. The transcript is spliced from 3 exons. The record is from RefSeq and is a predicted model, not a curated record. Lineage: Eukaryota; Metazoa; Chordata; Aves; Galliformes; Phasianidae.
CUUCCUCAAUCCCCACCUACCAAACCAAAGGUGAGGGCGGUGUAUAAUGAGCAGUUAUCAGAGAAGAUGGAAGAUGGAUGUUGUUGGGUACCUCAGCCUUCUCCUUGUCUGUUGUUCCCAGCUCAGUGCUGCUGGUAAGCAGCAUCGUGUGCAGAGCGCAGCCACGUUGAUCAGAGAAAGGAGUGCAGGUUUGUGAAAGAGGCACAUCUGCAGGGCAGUGCCUUCAUUACUGCGUUGUGUCCCACAGGUGGCAGCAGACUGCGGCACUCCCGAGUGCCGUAACGACCGCAUGGAGAUGCGUGGCUCUUCAGGCAGCAGCAAGGAACCGGAAUCUGCAUUUCCUGGGAUGCCCGGAACUCCGCUUUGCUGGCUGGUAAUUGUCUGCCCAGCAGGUGGCAGCAGAGUUGCGUUGCUCCUGAGCGCUGUAAGGACAGCACGGAGAUGCGCGGCUCUUCAGGCAGCAGCAAGGAACCGGAAUCUGCAUUUCCUGGGAUGCCCGGAACCCCGCUUUGCUGGCCGGUAAUUGUCUGCCCAGCAGGUGAAGAUGCCUUCGACGCUUCCAGUCGAUGACUUCCCCCCUGCGACGCCAUUGGCUUUCCAGGCCUCCCACACUCACCGCCAGCUCGGUUCGGUCAACCGUUACCCGAAUCCCCGCUCCGUUCCCUUUCCAUGAUCUUCCCGUCACUCUGCCACAAGCCCCUACCAAGGUCAUCGCAGGCAGCGUGUGGGAUGCGGCGCUCGGUCUCAUUGCAGUUCAUCCCAUCGGCCUCAGCCCAGCGAUCCAACCCACCCGCACCCUUCCUGAGGGCCCUUCUGCUCCCAGGCCAAUCAACGCUUCCUUCUGAUGCCAUCUGCGUUCCUUCCAGGCCAUUUUCAGGCUCGUGCCCCUUUGUGGCCAUUUUGAGAGUUGUGCUGAUUUCAGCAUGUGCAUUCAAUUGACUUCAACCAAAUUGGCUUUAGCUUGACAUACAAUUAAUGUAAACCAAAUUGGCUUUAGUUUUACAUUCAAUUGACUUCAACCAAAUUGGCUUUAGCCUUGCAUUCAAUUGACUUCAACCAAAUUGGCUUUAGUUUUACAUUCAAUUGGCUUCAACCAAAUUGGCUUUAGCUUUACAUUCAAUUAAUGUAAGCCAAAUUGGCUUUAGCUUUGCCUUGGUUACGGGGUUGGGCUAGCCUUGCUUUGUUUGCUCCUAGGCAGGGCUAACCCAACCCCGUAACCAAGGGCCGUUGGAGGCAAUUUUGUUCCUUCCCGGCCAGUCUGAGACUCGCGCCCCAUUGCGGCCAUUUUGAGAGUUGUGCUGAUUUCAGCAUCUGCGUUCAAUUUAUCUCAACCAAAUUGGCUUUAGCCUUGCAAUCAUUUUGCAUCAACCAAAUUGGCUUUAGCUUUACAUGCAAUUGAC